Molecule: long non-coding RNA, 611 nt
Filed under: Homo sapiens (human)
Lineage: Eukaryota; Metazoa; Chordata; Mammalia; Primates; Hominidae
Description: HSALNT0368556
Source: RNAcentral
ACAUUUGACUGGGACUCCCCCAUGGAGAGAAGUCCUCCCAGGUCCUCUGCAAGGGGCAUCUGUUCCUUGGCUAUGGACAUGCCCUAAAGUGCCAGGUGGACGGAAGAGCUCCUGGGACCAGCAGGUUGGGAGCAUCAAUUCACGUUGGCUAGAAAUGUGACUUCUUUAGUAUUUACCAUUUUAACAAAAUCCAUGAUAAGGGAUUUGGAAGGUCCCAUGGAAAGGAUGAAAUGACACCUCUCUGCUACCCAGUUUCUUUAAGACCUCUACGGUUGAGAAGAGAGGACAAAGGAACACCCCCACCUCUGCCAUCCUCCGAGGGAUUUUUCACAGCAAUUCCAGUGCUGCUCAGUGGAAAGCUCUGCAAGUCAACUGCAAACCCCCAGCCCCAGAUGUUAGGCAUUUACAAACUUUGUUGCUGAUUUAUCAGCGCUCCUCUGCAAUUUUGGGGACAGGAGCAAACACAAGCUUAAGUCACCACGCAGGCUGCAACCCUUACCCAAAGAUGGGGGAAAAACUCCAAAGGAGAUGCAGGAGGGAGCCUCAGCAGUCACUGUGAGAGCACAAAGAGGCCAAGACCCAGGGUAGGCAAAGGAAGGUGAGAGGCACCA